Molecule: ribosomal RNA, 499 nt
Filed under: uncultured Glomus
Lineage: Eukaryota; Fungi; Glomeromycota; Glomeromycetes; Glomerales; Glomeraceae
Description: SSU rRNA
Rfam family: Eukaryotic small subunit ribosomal RNA
Source: RNAcentral
CGCAGCCGCGGUAAUUCCAGCUCCAAUAGCGUAUAUUAAAGUUGUUGCAGUUAAAAAGCUCGUAGUUGAAUUUCGAGACCGGUUUAUUGGUCGUGCUUUUGUACGUACUGGUAUUAUUGGUUUCUCCUUUCUGACGAAUCUUAAUGCCAUUAAUUUGGUGUUUUGAGGAAUCAGGACUGUUACUUUGAAGAAAUUAGAGUGUUUAAAGCAGGCUCACGCUUGAAUACAUUAGCAUGGAAUAACGGAAUAGGACGUUUGAUUCUAUUUUGUUGGUUUCUAGGAUCGACGUAAUGAUUAAUAGGGAUAGUUGGGGGCAUUAGUAUUCAAUUGUCAGAGGUGAAAUUCUUGGAUUUAUUGAAGACUAACUACUGCGAAAGCAUUUGCCAAGGAUGUUUUCAUUAAUCAAGAACGAAAGUUAGGGGAUCGAAGACGAUCAGAUACCGUCGUAGUCUUAACCAUAAACUAUGCCGACUAGGGAUCGGAUGAUGUAAUUUUUAAU